CAAAUUUAAAAUCUACCUGGUUUYCAGGUCGAGUUGUAAUUUGAAGAUACGUUUUUGACGUUCCGGGUUGAACUAAAUCCUUUGGGAUAAGGUAUCAUGGAGGGUGAGAAUCCCGUAUAUACCAACCRYAGGGAUGUUAUUUAAUACGUUUCUAAGAGUCGAGUUGUUUGGGAAUGCAGCUCUAAAUGGGUGGUAAAUUUCACCUAAUGCUAAAUAUAAGCSAGAGACCGAUAGYGAACAAGUACAGUGAUGGAAAGAUGAAAAGAACUUUGAAAAGAGAGUUAAAUAGUAYGUGAAAUUGUUGAAAGGGAAACGAUUGAAGUCAGUCAUGCCRGUGGGAAUCAACUUAGAGGAAACUCUGAGUGCACUUYUUCSCUUGGCAGGUCAACGUYGAUUUUGGAUGUCAUAAAAUGAUUGGGGGAAGGUAGCUCYUUCGGGAGUGUUAUAGCCCUUGGUAGAUGUGAUGUCUGGGAUCGAGGAUUGCAAUGGAUACCCUUUGGGGCUAGCCGCCUGAUCUCUAAUYGGUAUUGGGUUACGGAUAGCAUGCUGACCGUGAUCUAAUUAUUGGUUAAAAGGUUA
Molecule: ribosomal RNA, 579 nt
Filed under: Glomeromycotina sp.
Lineage: Eukaryota; Fungi; Glomeromycota
Description: partial 28S ribosomal RNA
Rfam family: Eukaryotic large subunit ribosomal RNA
Source: RNAcentral